Molecule: ribosomal RNA, 444 nt
Filed under: uncultured bacterium
Lineage: Bacteria
Description: partial 16S ribosomal RNA
Rfam family: Bacterial small subunit ribosomal RNA
Source: RNAcentral
CCUACGGGAGGCAGCAGUGAGGAAUAUUGGUCAAUGGGCGCGAGCCUGAACCAGCCAAGUAGCGUGAAGGAUGACUGCCCUACGGGUUGUAAACUUCUUUUCUCAGGGACGAAGCAAGUGACGGUACCUGAGGAAUAAGCCACGGCUAACUACGUGCCAGCAGCCGCGGUAAUACGUAGGUGGCAAGCGUUAUCCGGAUUUACUGGGUGUAAAGGGCGUGUAGGCGGGAAAGCAAGUCAGAUGUGAAAACCAUGGGCUCAACCUGUGGCCUGCAUUUGAAACUGUUUUUCUUGAGUACUGGAGAGGCAGACGGAAUUCCUAGUGUAGCGGUGAAAUGCGUAGAUAUUAGGAGGAACACCAAUGGCGAAGGCGGUCUGCUGGACAGCAACUGACGCUGAGGCGCGAAAGCGUGGGGAGCAAACAGGAUUAGAUACCCUAGUAGUC